This 293-nucleotide long non-coding RNA is filed under the name Elaeis guineensis (African oil palm). RNAcentral's name for it is "long non-coding RNA (EGUI_LNC017859)". The record is from RNAcentral. Lineage: Eukaryota; Viridiplantae; Streptophyta; Magnoliopsida; Arecales; Arecaceae.
CGUGGGUUUUAGAAAAAAAAAAUUCAAAGCAAGUACGGAUCGAAUAUGGAUAAUAAUAUGCCCCAUCCCAAAUUCAACCCGAUAUAUAUAUAUAUAUACACACACACAUCCAAAUAUCCAACAAAAAAUCCUAGCCGUCCAAGCUUCCCGUAUUCAACCACUCCUCCUCCCCUAGGCUUCCAUAUUCGGCCACUCCAAGUCUCCCACCCAAUUGGGAUUUUUGAGAAUGAAAAAAAUAGAGAAAAAAUUAGGAGAAAAUAAAAAAAAAUAAAAAUAAAUAAACAUAAAACGGA